Molecule: long non-coding RNA, 327 nt
Organism: Haliotis rubra (blacklip abalone)
Lineage: Eukaryota; Metazoa; Mollusca; Gastropoda; Lepetellida; Haliotidae
Exons: 3
Source: RefSeq, a predicted model, not a curated record
AUGAAAUUGAGCGCCGGGUCUAAAGUGGUAGGGAGCAGAAUGGAUAACUGGGGUUUGGAACGGCUGGCUGGCCUGAAUGUUGCAGUAGGUGGGAGGUGAGAGAGACGACUGUAGUUAUUUACCGAGGAACAUGGAUCGCUGCCACCAGCUGUUUGUUACACCUCCUCUACACACAACUGAGUACCGGCACACCUGGAGCAGUCAGCCGCUGUAGCACUUGAGAGGGUUGCUUCAAGCACUCUUGGUCAUGCUUGCUGGUUGAAGUGGACGCAGCAGCCUCACUGAAGUAAGAGAUGCCAUCGCAAUCAGUGUGUUGACGACAGCCCA